RNAcentral lists this long non-coding RNA (218 nucleotides) under Carica papaya (papaya). RNAcentral describes it as "long non-coding RNA (CPAP_LNC000693)". Lineage: Eukaryota; Viridiplantae; Streptophyta; Magnoliopsida; Brassicales; Caricaceae. The record is from RNAcentral.
AGAUCGAUGACUUUUUGUUAUCAAUUGCAGGGUGUCUAGGUCUUCUCCAAAAUAGACAUGUGUUUAGGUUAUACUGUGCGUAACUCAAUUAAUGAUUUUUAGGGUCUUUUUGGUUAUUCUAUUAUUCGUUUCCCCUGCAUUGUGUGCUGGUAUUCCGGUCAUUGGUUAUUUGGGGGUAUGAAACUAUAUUGUUAUUUAAAUGAACGGUGAGUAUAAAA